UCCAGUGUUGUGACAAGCGGCGACCGCGGUUGUACGGGAGCGGAAGCGUGAGCCUUUUGACGAGCGACUGUGAAGAAUGCAAAGCCAGUGCCAAACUUCGGAACCGAUAGCCCGGGCGGCGUGUUGGCACAGCGAGGAUAAUGAACGAGAGACCCGAUAGACAGCGAUGACAGCUGUUCACGGCACCGACACAGAGGACAGAUUGCAGUGCAAGAUAGGAGCGGUCUUCCUGCAAGCCCAGACAAGCCAUAUUGAGUGGUUUCAAAUACAGCAACUGUACCACCAUGACAGUGCAGCACAAGAGACCCUAUCGUCAGUGCUGGGUCAGAAAUUAAAUAGAAAAGCGCUUUCUUCUGAAAUCUUUCGCCUGGUCUUAUUUCGUUUGUUUGUGAUUGCAAAAGAGCUCUUUCGUAGGAAAUA
Rhipicephalus sanguineus (brown dog tick) is the source of this 420-nucleotide long non-coding RNA. RefSeq lists it as uncharacterized. Lineage: Eukaryota; Metazoa; Arthropoda; Arachnida; Ixodida; Ixodidae. The record is from RefSeq and is a predicted model, not a curated record. The transcript is spliced from 4 exons.